UAAAUAGCCCGGCUCUCCCAAUCGCGGGAGGUCGCAGGCUUCUUAGAGGGACGAUCGGCUUCUAGCCGGUGGAGGUAUGAGGUAAUAACAGGUCUGUGAUGCCCUUAGAUGUUCUGGGCCGCACGCGCGCUACAC
This 135-nucleotide ribosomal RNA is filed under the name Basidiomycota sp. RNAcentral describes it as "partial small subunit ribosomal RNA". It matches the Rfam family "Eukaryotic small subunit ribosomal RNA", at positions 1352 to 1503 of the family's 1831-position model. The record is from RNAcentral. Lineage: Eukaryota; Fungi; Basidiomycota.